This 286-nucleotide long non-coding RNA is filed under the name Fukomys damarensis (Damara mole-rat). Its description in RNAcentral is "lncRNA (ENSFDAG00000026507.1)". Lineage: Eukaryota; Metazoa; Chordata; Mammalia; Rodentia; Bathyergidae. The record is from RNAcentral.
UAGGUUUUGUUUUCAUCUUUAUUUUUCUUGUGAAGAUUAGAGAAGUUAAUUAUUCUGCCACUGAGUGAGCCAUAUGGGACUCAGGUCUUCCUGAUGCUGGACCCGGAAUAAAGGACCAGGACCAACAGAAUCCUGGAGAUGUGAAAAUGUGAAGAGCUCAUACUGGUGUGAUUGGGAUGGGGUGACAAAGAGUGGAUGACUAUGGCAGGGGCAAGGAAAGGAAGAAUAAUGGAAGCAGCUUUAUCCAGCUUGUAUUUAUUACAUCUUCUGAUUUCAUCAAGGGGCC